RNAcentral lists this ribosomal RNA (253 nucleotides) under Acidobacterium sp. RNAcentral describes it as "partial 16S ribosomal RNA". It matches the Rfam family "Bacterial small subunit ribosomal RNA", at positions 524 to 776 of the family's 1533-position model. Lineage: Bacteria; Pseudomonadati; Acidobacteriota; Terriglobia; Terriglobales; Acidobacteriaceae. The record is from RNAcentral. RNAcentral also lists the same sequence under 1 other name.
GACGAACCGUGCGAACGUUGUUCGGAAUUACUGGGCGUAAAGGGCUCGUAGGCGGCCAACUAAGUCAGACGUGAAAUCCCUCGGCUUAACCGGGGAACUGCGUCUGAUACUGGAUGGCUUGAGUUCGGGAGAGGGAUGCGGAAUUCCAGGUGUAGCGGUGAAAUGCGUAGAUAUCUGGAGGAACACCGGUGGCGAAGGCGGCAUCCUGGACCGACACUGACGCUGAGGAGCGAAAGCCAGGGGAGCAAACGGG